UACGUAGGGUGCGAGCGUUGUCCGGAAUUAUUGGGCGUAAAGAGCUUGUAGGCGGUUUGUCGCGUCUGCUGUGAAAAUCCGGGACUCAACCCCGGACCUGCAGUGGGUACGGGCAGACUAGAGUGUGGUAGGGGAGACUGGAAUUCCUGGUGUAGCGGUGAAAUGCGCAGAGUAUCAGGAGGAACACCGAUGGCGAAGGCAGGUCUCUGGGCCACUACUGACACUGGAGAAGCGGAAAGCAUGGGGAGCGAACAGG
Molecule: ribosomal RNA, 256 nt
Filed under: uncultured bacterium
Lineage: Bacteria
Description: partial 16S ribosomal RNA
Rfam family: Bacterial small subunit ribosomal RNA
Source: RNAcentral